GACGAACGCUGGCGGCGUGCUUAACACAUGCCAGUCGAACGGAAAGGCCCUGCUUUUGUGGGGUGCUCGAGUGGCGAACGGGUGAGUAACACGUGAGUAACCUGCCCUUGACUUUGGGAUAACUUCAGGAAACUGGGGCUAAUACCGGAUAGGAGCUCCUGCUGCAUGGUGGGGGUUGGAAAGUUUCGGCGGUUGGGGAUGGACUCGCGGCUUAUCAGCUUGUUGGUGGGGUAGUGGCUUACCAAGGCUUUGACGGGUAGCCGGCCUGAGAGGGUGACCGGCCACAUUGGGACUGAGAUACGGCCCAGACUCCUACGGGAGGCAGCAGUGGGGAAUAUUGCACAAUGGGCGGAAGCCUGAUGCAGCAACGCCGCGUGCGGGAUGUAGGCCUUCGGGUUGUAAACCGCUUUCGCCUGUGACGAAGCGUGAGUGACGGUAAUGGGUAAAGAAGCACCGGCUAACUACGUG
Molecule: ribosomal RNA, 468 nt
Filed under: uncultured bacterium
Lineage: Bacteria
Description: partial 16S ribosomal RNA
Rfam family: Bacterial small subunit ribosomal RNA
Source: RNAcentral